UACGUAGGGUGCGAGCGUUGUCCGGAAUUAUUGGGCGUAAAGAGCUCGUAGGCGGUUUGUCGCGUCGGCUGUGAAAUCCCGAGGCUCAACCUCGGGUCUGCAGUCGAUACGAGCAAACUAGAGUGUUGCAGGGGAGACUGGAAUUCCUGGUGUAGCGGUGAAAUGCGCAGAUAUCAGGAGGAACACCAAUGGCGAAGGCAGCUCGCUGGGACGGUACUGACGCUGAGGCGCGAAAGCGUGGGGAGCAAACAGG
RNAcentral lists this ribosomal RNA (253 nucleotides) under uncultured bacterium. Its description in RNAcentral is "partial 16S ribosomal RNA". It matches the Rfam family "Bacterial small subunit ribosomal RNA", at positions 524 to 776 of the family's 1533-position model. The record is from RNAcentral.